GAUGAACGCUAGCGGCAGGCUUAACACAUGCAAGUCGAGGGGUAUAGUUCUUCGGAAUUAGAGACCGGCGCACGGGUGCGUAACGCGUAUGCAAUCUACCUUUCACAGAGGGAUAGCCCCAGAGAAAUUUGGAUUAAUACCUCAUAGUAUAGCAGUUUCGCAUGAAACCACUAUUAAAGUCACAACGGUGAAAGAUGAGCAUGCGUCCCAUUAGCUAGUUGGUAAGGUAACGGCUUACCAAGGCAACGAUGGGUAGGGGUCCUGAGAGGGAGAUCCCCCACACUGGUACUGAGACACGGACCAGACUCCUACGGGAGGCAGCAGUGAGGAAUAUUGGACAAUGGGCGCAAGCCUGAUCCAGCCAUGCCGCGUGCAGGAAGAAGGUCCUAUGGAUUGUAAACUGCUUUUAUACAGGAAGAACACUCCCUCGUGAGGGAACUUGACGGUACUGUAUGAAUAAGGACCGGCUAACUCCGUGCCAGCAGCCGNGGUAA
Molecule: ribosomal RNA, 494 nt
Filed under: uncultured bacterium
Lineage: Bacteria
Description: bacterial SSU rRNA
Rfam family: Bacterial small subunit ribosomal RNA
Source: RNAcentral